AAAACCCUCGCCACUCAUGAAGAACUGAGGCAAAAGGAUCACAGAUGCUGCUCGGGGCCAGCCCUAUACUCCCUCCAGUGCCUGGUCUCCGGUGGACCCGCGGGGCUCUGCAGUUCUCUGGCGGCCGCGCCUUGUAAGCGCUAAGCCGGGAGGAGGGCGCAGGCAGGGCGCACAGCUCUGAGCGCGACCCUACCCGGCUCGGGCCCGCAGCAACCCCGACUGUCCGAGAGCCUCUCCCCAAGCAAGGCUCUGCGCCGCCCUCUGAGCCCACCUCCUGGCCACAACGCUGCCUGCGCUUCUCCAGCCCAGGCCGGAAGCCCUAUGCUGCCUCCCGAAGCCGGACUUUCUGGAAGCCCAUCUUCGUAUGCUCACCAGCCCACCCUCCUACGCUGGUCAGAGUGAGAUUGCUAACCUCAAGACCCCAUUCAAUGCCAGCUUUCAACUACUGCUGAAGACCAAUGUAGGUCCUGGAAUAGAAGAACUGCAGAGUCUUGGCUUUUGCUUUUGUGUGUCCACCUCGAGCAGAUCCGGAGCUGGCCGACCCCAGACUGAUUCUCAACAGGUGGCUGGAUGCAGACAAAAGCUACCAUGUCCGCUUGGAGUGACGCCCAGACACGCACAGAGAUGUACAGGAAGCCAAGGAGAGUGGGAUCCACCAGAGUACAGUACAAGUACAGAGUACAGUGCAAGAUGCCCAGUGGCCCUGGAGAAAAACCUUCGUUGACUCUUCUGUAUGGAAAGUUUCUGAAGAAAGGGCCAAGGAAUGAUCUGCCCCAGAGGCUGCCUUUAGGCUCCCAUACCUGCUCUGUUUGGAGACACCCAGAAGAGGCCAGUACAGCAAAGACUCUUUUUGGUUUGGUUAUUUCUGUUGCUUGUUGUCUUUUUUUCAUCCUUUGCCUGGGAAAUUGUGCUCUGGAAUAGGGCUUGAGUAGACAGCACAGGCCUCCAGUAGAUAACAAGAGAUUCUCAAUCUCCAAUGAGGACAUUCCGUUCUAAGGAAGCUUCCAGAUAGGGGAAAGCCCUGUUUUGUCCCCCUUUUCUCCUCUGAGAUCUGAAAAAAUAGAAAGAAAAAAAAAGAAAAACAAAACAAAUAUAAAAACUAUAGCCCAAUCCCAUGUACAUCAAAUAAAUCCACAAGGAAUAUGCUAGAUCAAGCUAAAUUAUGUAUUUAACUCAUUUUCUUUUGUGAGAUACUGAGAAGUCUUCAACUUCCUCUAUUCCAGGCAGGGAUCGAGGACCUGGCCUGGCAGAGGUUCCACCACCAGGGUUUCCCACAGUGGUUCUGGGACUAGGCGUAAGGUGUCCUGACUUGUUUUCUCUGUCACCUCUUCUGGGGAACUGGGGAACUGUCCCAGACAAUGGCUGCCCCAGUUCCCUCUAGAAGAGACAGCCCCCACCCCCAGAACCCGUUGCCCUCCAACCUCACCUCAUUUUCUCUUGAGCUCAUUCUCCGAGCUCUUAAAGUAGUAGGUGUGAGUCUUGGACCAUUUCUUUAAAAGAAACAACUAAGGAAAGGGAGGGAGGGGAGGAGGGAGGAGGGGAGCGGGAAGGAGAGCUACCUCCUAGACUAACGCGUCCAGGAACCACUCUCUAAGGAGCAAAAGAGAGCCUGUGUUGUAAAGUAGAAGUGAUCCCCCGACAUUGCUGCAGGGCGCCUUGCAACAGAUGUAACUGUCCACUGAAGAGACAGAGGGUGGGCAUGGGGAAGAUUUUUUUUCCUCCCUUUUGUGAACAGCUCUUACACUUUUCCAAGACACAUUGAGUUCCUGGACAUUUUUGUGAAUUUGUUCUUGAUUGUGUUUUGAACAAUAAACUGUGAAAAUCAACUUCAAGCCCACACAAUCAGAAUCUUUCUUGGGAGGGCAGGUUCUUUCAGCGCUGUUUUUCUCCAGGUCGCUUUUAUCUUACCCCCAAUGGGAGUCACCUGCUGAUGCUCCUCGGGAGGAGACUGUAACUGAAAGACGGAAGUGAAUGCAGACACAGCAUCCUCUGAGCCAAACCGUUGCUUUGGUUCCUUCUAGCUUAGGAUGCCGAACACUGGCUGGCUUUGAACACCCUCUACUUCGCUAAGAAGUUUAGAGCCUUUCUCACAACAAACCACAGCGUUUUAGAACUGGAAAUGUUUCUUCUGAUUUUCCAGUCUUAGGACAAUUUUCGAACUCUAACUUAAAAAAAAAUUUGUUUAUGGGGGUUUAGCUAGAACACUUGUAGCAUUCGCUUCUCAAGGAAAGAUCAACUGUUUUCUCAUAACCCCAACUGCUCCACACACUUCAUAGGAUAUAAUGUAUUUUCUUUACUUAUCCUUGUGCCUUCUGCCCAGGACAUAGAACUAGGGGCAAAACUUUGGAGGUCUAUGACCUCUUGAUAGCACCUGUAAUUGUUAGGCUUUUGUUCUUGUGCCUUGUAAAUCUCUCAUGUACGUCUAUGAAAAUAUGCAUUGCAUGGGUGUGAUCCUAUCAAGUUGUCCACACUUUCUCAACAACCACUGAUGAGUGAAACCAUUUCUAUUGCCCAGGGCAAAGGGCUAAUCGCCUUGUGGGUCUAGAGUUGUCAUAGGAUAAUAUCCGGUGUGUGUGUGAUAUGACAGUUAUUACUUUCAAGAAUAAAUUAAAAUAACCAGAUACCCCUUUAAUACUUUCCUCAACAGCGUCAAUGCUCUAGAGAUGGGACCUCGCCUUCCAAGGUGUCUUCACUAUCACAGGGCCCGGGCUCUCUGCCUCAGCCCAACCCUGGGCUUGCGCUCAGAGAGGAGGUAUUCCGACGGAAAAAAAUCCCAUACAUUUUUAACUACAGUGAUUACUAAAUUAAUAGCAGGCACCAAGACAGAUGUCAAAACGUCUUGAAAAUGUUUAUCUGUGAAUAAUUGAGAAGGUAGUGGGACGCAUUAUCUGAUUGUGUAAUGAAAUAUGUAUGAGGAACAGCUGUUUGCAGCAGCCCCUUCCCCUUGCCGCCUUAGCCAGGGCCCUUCUCUCGCAAGCUUUCUUCUACUUUCUUCCACCUUUUUCUUCCUUCUACUUUCUAGUUCGCUCUCUUCUUCCUUAACUGCUCGCACGGCUUUGGCUGCAGUGAACCCAGAGUCGCCUGGUUCUCUGAUGAAGGUUAGCCACAAGGUUUCCUCUAAGCCUUGCUGGAUUGGCGUUCCGUAGUGGGAUGAGGCUUCGUUGUCUGCUGUUCUGGCCAUCGCGCCUUCCGGCCAGGCUGCCCGCUGGGUCUCCAUGGAGUCUGCGGG
Molecule: long non-coding RNA, 3229 nt
Filed under: Mus musculus (house mouse)
Lineage: Eukaryota; Metazoa; Chordata; Mammalia; Rodentia; Muridae
Description: SIX homeobox 3, opposite strand 1, transcript variant 5 (Six3os1)
Source: RNAcentral